RNAcentral lists this ribosomal RNA (982 nucleotides) under Streptomyces sp. RNAcentral describes it as "bacterial SSU rRNA". It matches the Rfam family "Bacterial small subunit ribosomal RNA", at positions 57 to 1055 of the family's 1533-position model. The record is from RNAcentral. Lineage: Bacteria; Bacillati; Actinomycetota; Actinomycetes; Kitasatosporales; Streptomycetaceae.
GCAGUCGACGAUGAACCACCUUCGGGUGGGGAUUAGUGGCGAACGGGUGAGUAACACGUGGGCAAUCUGCCCUGCACUCUGGGACAAGCCCUGGAAACGGGGUCUAAUACCGGAUACUGACCCUCGCAGGCAUCUGCGAGGUUCGAAAGCUCCGGCGGUGCAGGAUGAGCCCGCGGCCUAUCAGCUAGUUGGUGAGGUAAUGGCUCACCAAGGCGACGACGGGUAGCCGGCCUGAGAGGGCGACCGGCCACACUGGGACUGAGACACGGCCCAGACUCCUACGGGAGGCAGCAGUGGGGAAUAUUGCACAAUGGGCGAAAGCCUGAUGCAGCGACGCCGCGUGAGGGAUGACGGCCUUCGGGUUGUAAACCUCUUUCAGCAGGGAAGAAGCGAAAGUGACGGUACCUGCAGAAGAAGCGCCGGCUAACUACGUGCCAGCAGCCGCGGUAAUACGUAGGGCGCAAGCGUUGUCCGGAAUUAUUGGGCGUAAAGAGCUCGUAGGCGGCUUGUCACGUCGGUUGUGAAAGCCCGGGGCUUAACCCCGGGUCUGCAGUCGAUACGGGCAGGCUAGAGUUCGGUAGGGGAGAUCGGAAUUCCUGGUGUAGCGGUGAAAUGCGCAGAUAUCAGGAGGAACACCGGUGGCGAAGGCGGAUCUCUGGGCCGAUACUGACGCUGAGGAGCGAAAGCGUGGGGAGCGAACAGGAUUAGAUACCCUGGUAGUCCACGCCGUAAACGGUGGGCACUAGGUGUGGGCAACAUUCCACGUUGUCCGUGCCGCACCUAACGCAUUAAGUGCCCCGCCGGGGGAGUACGGCCGCAAGGCUAAUACUCAAAGGAAUUGACGGGGGCCCGCACAAGCGGCGGAGCAUGUGGCUUAAUUCGACGCAACGCGAAGAACCUUACCAAGGCUUGACAUACACCGGAAAACCCUGGAGACAGGGUCCCCCUUGUGGUCGGUGUACAGGUGGUGCAUGGCUGUCGU